RNAcentral lists this long non-coding RNA (390 nucleotides) under Rattus norvegicus (Norway rat). Its description in RNAcentral is "long non-coding RNA NONRATT030391". Lineage: Eukaryota; Metazoa; Chordata; Mammalia; Rodentia; Muridae. The record is from RNAcentral.
AUAAAAUGUGGUUCACAUGGACUUCCGCUCCAUCCAUCCUUUUCCUGUUGGCGCGUGCGGUUGAGGCGGGGAUCGCUGCCGCCAGUCUCUCGUUUUCAUCACAGACACUUCUGCUGCAAAGAUGGUCAACGUCCCUAAAACCCGAAGGACUUUGUGUAAGAAAUGUGGCAAGCCCCAGCCUCACAAAGUGACCCAGUAUGAGAAGGGCAGGAUUCCCUGCAUUCCCAAGGAAAGCUGCACUACGACCGGAAGCAGAUGGCUACGACCGGCAGACAAAGCCAAGUUUUCGAAAGAAGGCCAAAACCAUAAAGGUUGUGCUCAGGCUUGAGUGUGUUGAGCCCAACUGCAAAUCUGAGAGGAUGUUGGCCAUUAAGAGAUGCAAGCAUUUUG